AAACCUUGUCUUCCUUGGAGAACAUGGGGCCAAGUCCACCCACAAUGAAGCAUCAAGAAGGAAAUGAUAAUGCCUAAGGUUUAGCCACCUUCCUGGGUGCCCAGAGGGAGUGAGCAGGGGGCAGCCACACCCUAAAAAAACGAUAAUCAAGGACAGCCAAGAAGCCACAUCAUUUUUACAAAGAGGCAGUCUAAGGUCAAAAGCGGGGCUCACCUGCCCAUGUGCCAUGUAACUUUAGGCAAGUUCCUCACCCUCCUGCUUCUGAUGUCAUUUUUUUUCAUGCCUACCGUGGCAACCAUAAUGCUAGCAUCUGCCUAGAGGCUGGCUGCUGAGGCUUUUAGAGGUUAACACGGAGCCUCUGCCCAUAUCCCACAAUCUGGAGGAGCAAGAAUAUAUCAUAAGGUGAGGACAUAAACUUCUGACCUGCUGCAAGGGCUCCAGGAAGUCGUGCUCAGGAGAGGCGGUGGAUUAGGCCAGCCCUGGAGGAACUCAAAAGGAAUACCAGCCUCAGAUUGCAGCAUUUAAGAGCGACGUUCCCAAACACUUGAACACAGAAGGCUUUUCAUCCUCAGAGUCCAGCACAAGUGUUACCUAAUUAAUGUUCAACAAUGUUACCAAGCCUCCCUCUUUUAAGACGUAUCAACCUGGAAAGGUCUGGAAUUAAGGAUUUUGAUCUCGCAUGGAUUGCUUUCAUGUAUUUCGGGUAAUUCGCACAGCUGCUUAAAGAAAGAUAUUCAUCGACUAUAAACAGCCCCAAGUUUGAGCAGCUACACAAAUAAACCUUCUCUUAUCUCUCCUGGCAGCUUUCCUUUGCCUGCUUGGGCAGUGAAGGGAUCAAAACUGCUCCCCGACAGACUGAUUCAAUGAGCACAUGGCCUCUAAAGUGAAUCACUCUUCAGCCAGGCAGAAUAAACUCCCAGCUUGAGAUCCUCA
Molecule: long non-coding RNA, 933 nt
Filed under: Homo sapiens (human)
Lineage: Eukaryota; Metazoa; Chordata; Mammalia; Primates; Hominidae
Description: HSALNT0227229
Source: RNAcentral